RNAcentral lists this ribosomal RNA (301 nucleotides) under uncultured bacterium. RNAcentral's name for it is "partial 16S ribosomal RNA". It matches the Rfam family "Bacterial small subunit ribosomal RNA", at positions 509 to 808 of the family's 1533-position model. The record is from RNAcentral.
CAGCGCCACGGUAAUACGAAGGGUGCAAGCGUUAAUCGGAAUUACUGGGCGUAAAGCGUGCGUAGGUGGUGGUUUAAGUCCGUUGUGAAAGCCCUGGGCUCAACCUGGGAAUUGCAGUGGAUACUGGGUCACUAGAGUGUGGUAGAGGAUAGUGGAAUUUCCGGUGUAGCAGUGAAAUGCGUAGAGAUCGGGAGGAACAUCAGUGGCGAAGGCGGCCAUCUGGGACAACACUGACGCUGAGGCACGAAAGCGUGGGGAGCAAACAGGAUUAGAUACCCGUGUAGUCCCUGUCUCUUAUACA